This 8990-nucleotide long non-coding RNA is filed under the name Phoenix dactylifera (date palm). Its description in RNAcentral is "long non-coding RNA (PDAC_LNC003291)". Lineage: Eukaryota; Viridiplantae; Streptophyta; Magnoliopsida; Arecales; Arecaceae. The record is from RNAcentral.
CAGUUCUUUGAAUAGGGAAUCCUCAGGUUGAGCCUGUCUGUUCUGUAGCAGAGAGUCCUGACCUUCAAAAUUUUGUGGAACCUCCUGCUGGCUCAGGUCGUCAUUUCGCUGAUUAAGAGAUAAGUUCUGGGUCUGAGCUACCAAUCCGUCGUGUGCUCCUCCUGAAUUCCCACCAGUGAAAGUUUGCUGGUGCUGCUCAAAGAACUGCUGCCUUUCACCAUACUUUGACGGAGGUGGUGGUAAGAAACCAGCAGGUUGGACUUCCCAAGGAGCCUUUGGAAGAUUCUCUGUAGUGGAUUUCGUGGUUUGAGCAGGCUCAUCGUAUCUGGGUAGGCCAGAGAAUACUGAUGGUGGAGUUGAGUCCAAUCCUGAAGUGGGAGGGGAAGACACAGAUGAGUUGGGUGGUGAAGGCAGAUUCACAUGAGCAUCUGAUGGCGUUUCUGAUCUGUAAGUUUCUCCACUAAGAUAGUCAACCGGGCUUGCAUCUGUGCUGACUGGCCUCUUUGAUGAUGGUGGUGGAGGAAGAAGUGGACUUGGGUUCUUGGCAAUAGAAGACUUCCUACUCCGGCCUGAUGCACCAUCCCUUGAGCUCCUGAACCAUCAGCAGACGAUAUGAGCUGGUUAAAUAUGGUUACAAUGGAUUAUCAUGAGCAAUUUUGACUAACUUAAAUUUCUACCAGCAAAGUCUGGCUAAAAUUAGCUACUUUAUAGCAUGCAGUCCCUAAAGUGCCAUGAGCUUGCUGCAUGGUUCCAGAAUACAAGUUGUAUUAUAGUUCCCAAACAUUUCAUUUAUGCUACCAGGAGUAACUCAGCACCACUUGAGAGGCGCUCCUAACUUACCAAAUGUGAUGGUGUUAAACAUCAAUUCAUGCAUAUGCAAAAUUUGAAUAGCAUCCAAAAGAAGGAAAAUUUCUUCAUUGAUCUAAUGGUGAAGAUUUAUAUUUCUUGCUCGCUGAGUAGGCUCAACUCCAAAGAAGGUAACUUUACAUAACAGAACCAAAGGAGGGGGGGUACAAUAGCAUCUUGUAUGUCAGGUUUACAAGCCAAAUAACAGGAAUUCACGGCUCCAGCAAAUAUCUGGUUAGACUAUUAAAGGGUUCUUUUGGACGACAGUCAGGCAGAUCAUUAGAUAGAAAUUUACAUGAGAAAGACUGACAAAAUAAAUGACCGAANNNNNNNNNNNNNNNNNNNNAUUUACAUGAGAAAGACUGACAAAAUAAAUGACCGAAGGCCUCUUUUUCUUUCUCUACUGCUGCUUCUCCCUAUUCUUCUCUACUUGAUUCUUCUUCCCAUCUCUCUUUAUCUUAGUCAUCUUCUUCUUUGUUGUGUUAAUUCUCUGAUUUUGAUGGCAUCUUUCUGCUAAUUACAAGUUCAGAAUCAGGUCUGGAGUUAUUAUGCUGUCAAAUCAUUUCUAUUAUUCAGAUACGAUUCUCAGUUUUGAAAUUGUUUUAUCCUAUCAAUUGAAAGGGCUUGAAGAAUGCUCAUUAUUCAGAUCCAAUUCAGAUAUGAAUUUAAACUGGAGAGACCUAUUCACAAGUAAUCUCUAAUUGACCAGAGAUUACAUCAGACGAAGCGCAAUAGACCAUGGAUUGUUCCUUUCAGGGAAAGACAACAGGCUUCCAAUAUUGCAUCCUUAAGAAAAGGAGCUCAUGGCAUAUCAAGAGUACAAUAAAGAUGAUAUGCUUGUUAAAAAAAUGAAACUAAUUAAUUUUUUAUAUAAUGAAAAUCAUAGCCGCAUAGACUUCUAUUUCAAAGACCAAAGGAGAAAUAAGUUCGAAAACACAUACUAUCCCCAUAUCAACAUGACAUUCCUAUCACCUUUAAGAUUAUCUAUGUGUGGUUGUACAAGCCAUUCUCUAUAUUCAGAGCUCAAGCACCAAAUGAUAUCGAAACACAAAACAAGGCUUAAUUCAAAAAUAUAGAAACCAUGCAUAUUACCUGUGAGAAAGCUGAGAAAAAUCAUCCUCUAACUCAUCAUCCUCGUGAUUUACAUUGACAAGAGGUGCAGCUGAAGUUAGUGUAGUUGAGGCCACUGUUGUUCCACCAACAGGAGGAGUUCCCUUCAGAAUGUCAUCAUGCCGUUGAAGCACACGCUGCAAUUCGUCAUUUAGUGCUAGACCCUGACAUAGAAGUUCCUCAUCUCUGUAAAGUUAUGCAACAACAAUGUCAGUAUCAAAUGAUUCCAAAUGAUGAUAUUUUUUGCAACAUGAUAAACACCAUACCCAGUAGCAUUCACAAGUUGCAUGACACGCUUAUGAUUAGUACGGCAUUGCUCGACAAGGUCAACAAUAACUUCUUGCUUUACAUCCUGUCAUGAGAAGCAUAAUUCAGUGGCAUGAAAAAUUGGUCAGAGACAAAUUAGUCGGAGAAUUAUCCAGUUAAUAACAAAAGAGUUGGGUACAAUUCUUGCUGUUGGAUUUAACUAGUCCAUGCAAAAGCAUUUUGCUUACCAUCAUAUCUCUCCAUCCCAAUAGCACACUAGUAGUGUUAGGCAAAUGUUCCAGAGCAACCAUUAAAAUACACUAACAGAUUAACUACACAGAUGGCAGGAGCAGGAGCAUUGACUAAUUGACUAACAUUAGUAGUUUUGAACAUUAUCUGAUGCUUUGUUGUUUAAAUAUAUAAAUUAUCAAGGAGAAUAAGUUCAUACUAAACUAAUUAGGGUCAUGCACACAAUCUUUUAAAAUUAAUAAUGUUCGCUUUCUUCAAAAUAACAGAAGAACUUACAUGGAAUUUCAUGUUCCAAGAUUAUACACAUUUUUUUUCUAAAUAUCUAUGUUCUACCUAUUAUAUCUAGACAUCUAUUUAUAUAUCCAUGCAAUCACCCACUUGAAAGGAAGGAGAGCAUAGUGAUUAAGAAUGGUUCUGCAUAUAAAAUAACCAUGCAUACACACAUGUAUCAGCACAGAAGAAUAUGGAAACGAACCUCUAAUGAGUUCAGAGAAAAAUAAUUAAAAAAUCAUCUUAUAUUCUUAACACUGAUUUUAUCUUGUAUGCAUGGAGACAGGAACAAUGUAGUGAGCUAAUCAUUUAUCAAUGCCAACAAUGGUCAACCAACUCAACAAUUAAUUUCCGUAAAGCCUUGAAUUGAAUAUCAUGCCUCUUUUUAACAUGUCAGAAUUAAAAUCCUUAAAGCGCAAUUAUGUCUAGCGCCCAAACACCCAUAAUGAGACAAAAGAAGUUAACUAUUUCUGACCUGGUCAAUCCUAGUUUUACAGGCAGAUACACAACCAGCAAUCUCAUUUUAGUCAUGCAUGUUUUCUGGGCAUGCACUCCUUCUGAAGGAACUUAACCACGAUAUUUGGAACAUCUCAUCCAUGUUUUAUGUUUGAAUGUCCGACAUCUUCAUCAUUAACUUAUUCAUCCUAAAGCAGAAUAUAUAGUCCAACUUUUUCUUAUGAUGGAUUUUAAGUUAUAUCUGUGACUAUAGUGUUAAGAACAUGUUUGAAUUAUGUAAAUUAGAAUAUUCAGUAUAACUUUAGUAGAUUUCAGUUGCUGUAUCUUUCACUCGAGUGCUACUAACAUUUUAACAUUGACAGAUACAGGUAUAAUAUAUGACACAAUAAACUCCACAGAGUACAUCAAAAGAAGUCAAAAGAAUUUAUUCAGUGCCUUAAACAACUAUGAAAUCAAAACACAAUGUAUUAUGCUAGCAAAAGUAAAAGCUACUAUUGUCACUCAGAAUGAACUUGACUCAUUUAUUUAACAUGAGUUCAGAAUAUUAUGAUGGCGAAUAAAAAGUGCAAUUCAAUUUUUUGUAUCUCUUGGGAUUUUCGUUUAGGUAAUUUUCAGAAUUGGUUUUAGAGUACCAUUUUAAGUGAAAUUGGUGUAAAAGAGUCAUAUAUUAUGUAUAUGUUGGGUUGAACAAGUCAUAAAAUCAUCAGGAUUUGAUUUUUGAUUGUUUUAGGUGUCUUUCUACACAGGGUUAUGUGCUAUUCCGUAUUUUAUUUUUUCAGGAUUUGGGAAUCACUUGCUUGCUUAUCAAGAGUCCUGAUUUACUUGGAAAACAAGUCAUGUGGAGUUUAUAAAAGGGUCUAUUAGGACUAAAUGAAAAUGAAUUGCGCAUGAUUUAUUUUGAACGAAUGAAAUGAUUUCUUUAGGCCAUAUUUGGACUUUCUUAUCUUUCUCUGUUUCUAUCCCUAUUUGCUUCUCUAUUUCUUUCUUCUUCUUUUAUUACUUCACUUUAUUUCUUCCCUACUUUCUAAUACUUUCUACUAUUCUCUCUUAUUUCUGCUGCUAUUCUUCUUCUUCACUGGAUUGUUGGCACUGCAGAUUGAUUCUCUGCAUGAUAUUAAAUCUAAUCUAUGCUGGAAUUAGCUUUAAACUGCUUUAGCCUCUUGCUGUUCUCAAUCAAAUAUUAUACCUUUUACAGGACAAGAUGUUGUUAUAGUUUUACUAGUGGCUAUCAAGACCCCAUGCUUUAGGAUGUGAAGAGACAAACCAAAUAAAAUGUAACAUCAUAACAAGAAGUUCUUCAAAAGUGAAAGAUGAAAUAUCCAGAACUGUACAAAAAUCAUUGAAAACAGCAAAGUUUCCUGUAUUUUGUUUUUUCCUUAAGACUCCACAGGUGGUGACUUUAAAAAAAAAAGUCUAGAAGACAAUUCCACCUCGGAAUUACGAGGAUCCAAUGCAUUCAGCAUCUCUGCCAACACAUCUGCUAUUCCUCGAGCAUUUUGAAUGUCAUGCAAGCUGCAUUACAACAAUGAAACAGUAUUAAAAUGCAUUUUUUUCCAAAAUAUUUCAAAAAUAAAAUGCAUAAAAAUGGAAGUAACAUAAAAUAGUGGCAUUAACAAUCAAAACAACCAAUUCAACAAUGUGUGCAAUCAUGUUCCAUGCACAGAAGUGAAAAUAAUAGUAUCACCCUAAAUGUACAUUCGCUUGCUAAUUUGUAACAGACAUAUUUAUCAACUCUAGUUUGUGCUGACCAGAAGUACUCUAUCUACACAUGCACAAACUCAACUUGUAUGCUGAACAAAAUCAUUGCAAACAUUCAACAUAUGCAGGCCCUAUUAUUAUCUCCUCUCGUAACUGCUAAUAAAAUCACUAUAACACGCAUUCAACAAAGAGACUUCCAUUACAAUAUAAGCAAAUACAUUAGAGUUAGAAGGAACAAUACCUCUUGGAGGAAUUGUUUAAUAUGAGAGCUUGCCACCUCAUUGACAAUGACCAAAAAACAAGUACACCAUACCUAGACACCUUUUGGAGAACUUGUCCAACAUGAAUCAUUUUAAAUUGAAUCUUGCAAUCUGGACCAAAAUGUCCCUAAAGAAUUUGGAUCUCAUCCUUAAGUUGGAACCAAUCAGGAUCAUGAGAUAAAGAUCAUAGCAAGGAUCAUACAAUCCUUGGAUCAUAAGAUCCAAAUUGGCCAUGUUGUUUACAUAUCCAAACAAGUCAUUUCCAACAAUUAAUUUGACUGUAGGCUUUUAGAAUUACAUAUUUAACAUAAGACCCUUCAAGCGCAUAAAAUUAGAAAGAUGACUAGUGUUUCUAACUUCUAAAAGGAAGGAAAAAGAAACUUGGGAGUUCAUGGAGUUUAAAAGAAGAGGUAAACAUUUGUACUUUUCCAACCAUUUGCUGAAACCUGAUUUCUUUUUUCCCCUUAAAACUAAAAGACAACUGAGUUGAUGGAUAGUACAUAAAUAUCUUGAAUACUUGGCUAUGGUAUUUAUCUCAUUAAAUAUGGCAUAUAUGGGCUCAUGAUGGUGAAUAUAGACUUUUUAUGUGUAUGGUCUUUUACCCUCCAUUCAUCUAUUUUAUCAUUGACUCAUUUUUCAAUUUUCAUGUUUUGUUUCUAUUCUUAACUUUUUUAAAAAAAAAUGGAAAAGAAUAUUAAGAUUUGUGGUUUGAUCCACCAUCUGUUUCGAAUUAAGCCCCAGAUUGAAUUACAACCCGAUCCACUGUCAUAUCCUAUUAUACAAUUUCAUGCCACAUCUUUUUUCUAGCUACUCAAUCCUCAAAAUUAUUUGUAUGCAAUUUCUCAUAUAUAAAGAGAACAGCAUAAAAUACUAAAGUAGAAUAAGUACCUAAAAGCAGGACCAUCGUCAGACUGAAGAGAAGCCUGUAUAGCUGCAUCCUCAUAUGCUGAUGCAGCAGGUUGAUACGUCACAGGGCGAGUUUGGGGAGGCGUAAACAAUGGUGCACUGUUUUCUGUACGUGGUGGAAAUUCUACUCCAUAAGCCUGCCACAACAAUAAGGGGGGAAAAUCUUCCAAUAUCAUUGUUGAUGACCCAUUACAAACCACAAGACAAUUUUAGUCAUCAAACAACGAAACUGCUGCAGCAUAUCCAAGAUAUGAAGUGGGGAAAAAAUUAUUGACAUGAACCAAAACACAAGAAUGGAAGAUAAAAAAAAUGGAAUUCUCAGAAAAAUCACAGAACAGUCAAGUAAUAUGCUCCUCUAUCCUAGUUUUAAGUUCAGUUUUCUUCAGUUUGAUCUUAGUUCAUAUCACAGCUUCCAAAUGAGUUGCCAAGAGAGAACUCAAAAUUAAUUCAUGAUUAAGCACAAUUUAAGAGAAAUUCAGAUUCCUAACACAUGCAUACACAGAGAGAGAGAGAGAGAAAGAUUUAGGAAAUUUUUGGUUACUAGAAAAUUUAUCGGAGAAAUAGUUUGGAUUUUGGAGGUACUGAAGACAUCUCAAAGGGUAGUCAGGAUUCAAAAAAAAUCAGAGCAUCUCAGGCGUCCCCAGUGAAAUAUGUAUUAUUUGCAGGAUUUUAUAGAGUUUUAUAUAAGCAUAGUUUUUUUUAUUCAGCUAAUAAAAUCAGGAAAAACAUUCAAGCAUGAAGAUGAGAAUAGUAGUAUAUUUUUUUCAAAAAAAAAAAAGAGUUUCUUGUCAUCAGGAGUAAAAGUCAUUAAUACUAUGGUAACAUGCUCGUAUGAUCAUAACCAACAAAAACCUUUGUAGCUGUCAAAGUUUAUAGAAUAAAUGUAAUUGGGGAUGUUAAGGUUGCAUAUUCACCGGUAAGCUUUGAAGUGCCACUUUGCAAAAUGACUCAUGUCAUCGUAGGAAGAUGCUGAAGUAACUGAACUAACUAUAGCAUUGAUGGAAAAGUUCUUGAAAACUAUUCAUAGAUGAGGUUGUAUAAAAGCUCACCUACGCUAUAUUUUAGGUUGUUUGAGAUGAUAUGUAGAUGCAUAACUUUCAAUAGAUAGAAACAAAUAGAUAGCAAAUUUUCCAUACAUACAAGUUUUUUACGCAAAUAGCACCACUCUAAUAACAUCUCUAUUGAAAAGCAAUUACUAAAUGUUGUCUUUUCAUCUUGAGGAUGGUUGGUUUAGGAAGUCAAGCUUCUUUUCUUUCCAAUACCCUUUCUGCAAUAACCCAGAAUUUUGGGGCCCGUGGGCCGGCCCAGAGUGGCCAAGCCCAGCCCGAUCCUGCACGCCUAGCCCAGCCUAUGAGCUUGUAAGCCAGCCCGAAUAGGCCUGGCCGAACUCAUUACGUGCUUGGCACAUGUGGCAGAGGAGGGAGACUCCUGAUUGAAGUCUUCCUCUUCCCCUGUUCUGUUUACCUCCCUCCGAUUCCACCGAAAGGGGGAGCCUAGAGCGACCGGAUCUUACCUAAUUUGAGUCGAUCCUUGUCUAUAAAAGAACCUCUCCCCCCUUCUUUGGCAUCAACCUUGGGAGCUCUUUCAUUAGAGGCUUUGAUCGCUAGGUGUUCCAUGGGGCGAGAUUGGAGUGUUCGUCGUUGAUCCGGCCAAAGGAGCUUGUUGGAGGCAAGGUGAGCUACCUCUUUUCCUUUCCGGUCUUUGGGCCACCGUUCUAUCUUGAAUCUAGGUUAUCGGAUACCUCGGAUAAUUUUUUAUGUUGAUUUGGUUCUAUAGAAGAACAAUCCUUCGGACAAGAGGACGUUAAGCAGGGUUUUGCGCACCCCAGUUCGUAUAUCGCGGUAUAGGCAAGUGAUUAGUCUGUCUAGGUUGUCAGCAAAAAGGUAGAAUUCUUGUACACCGACUUGCAUGAUAUAGACAUUUUUGUACCUAUAUAUAUAUAUAUAUAUAUAUAUAAUAUUUUUUUAGAUCAACAAGAUGCCAAAUAGUAUGAUAUAAAUUUUUUGUACAGCUACUGAUCAAGAAAGAACAUGGAGGCAUGAAGCCCCUAUUAACUCAGACAAGGAUUUAAGAAACCAUGACUCAUCAGUCAUCACACAUUGUAACCAAAAUGCAUGACACCAACGCUAUUCUGAUCAUGCUAUACACAACUCACAGAAUAACCAACUAGAACAAUAUUUAAACCAUAGACAAAGUCCUGUCUUUAUUUCACUAGCAACUUAGUCCUGUCCUCUCAUUCUGCAUGAUAAACCCACUAUGAAUAUUACACAAGCCACCACACAUGCAUGAAAAGAUCAUUUAACGCGUUCUACGGCUGUUGGGCGGCCUGGUGGAAGGAGAUGAUUUGGCUUUUGCAAAAUCAACCAGUUCUUUGAAUAGGGAAUCCUCAGGUUGAGCCUGUCUGUUCUGUAGCAGAGAGUCCUGACCUUCAAAAUUUUGUGGAACCUCCUGCUGGCUCAGGUCGUCAUUUCGCUGAUUAAGAGAUAAGUUCUGGGUCUGAGCUACCAAUCCGUCGUGUGCUCCUCCUGAAUUCCCACCAGUGAAAGUUUGCUGGUGCUGCUCAAAGAACUGCUGCCUUUCACCAUACUUUGACGGAGGUGGUGGUAAGAAACCAGCAGGUUGGACUUCCCAAGGAGCCUUUGGAAGAUUCUCUGUAGUGGAUUUCGUGGUUUGAGCAGGCUCAUCGUAUCUGGGUAGGCCAGAGAAUACUGAUGGUGGAGUUGAGUCCAAUCCUGAAGUGGGAGGGGAAGACACAGAUGAGUUGGGUGGUGAAGGCAGAUUCACAUGAGCAUCUGAUGGCGUUUCUGAUCUGUAAGUUUCUCCACUAAGAUAGUCAACCGGGCUUGCAUCUGUGCUGACUGGCCUCUUUGAUGAUGGUGGUGGAGGAAGAAGUGGACUUGGGUUCUUGGCAAUAGAAGACUUCCUACUCCGGCCUGAUGCACCAUCCCU